AUGAGUUUGCUUUACGAAGCAUGUUCUAGUUCAGUUUCUGAGAUUGAAGGAAUGACUGGUAUGGGUUCUGGUAUUGGGAGCUAUUCUGUUGGGCAGAACCAUUUAUUUUCAUAUGAUCAUAUAAAAUCGGUCGUCGAGCGGUUAGGUGCAGCCGUAAAGACUACUCAGUAUAGCAAUGAAGGGAACACAAAGGAACUAAAGGCUACUGUUCUUGAGUUGCAGCAGGAGCUUCAGGGAAAAGAUGUGCAAAUUAGCACAAUCAGUUCGGAGCUUGCAUCUCAGAUAAGGGAAGCUGAAUCUUAUGCGAAACAGCUUUCUGUUGAGCUUGAAGAUGCAAGAAUGCAAGUACACAAUUUGGAGGAACAUGUUGAGAUGUUGCUUAAUCAGAAGAAAGCUUUAGAGACCCAAGCAAGUGAGCUUAAAGAUUUGGAGACAGUGGCAAGUGAGCAGCAUGGAAGAAUAAAGGAGUUGACUGAUGAACUGAGCAGAAAAGACCAAGAGAUUGAAGGUUUGAUGCAAGCACUUGACGAAGAAGAAAAGGAGCUUGAAGUCUUGGAGAACAAAAGCAAUGACUUGGAGCAGAUGCUGCAAGAAAAAGAAUUUUCUUUGAAGAGCCUUGAAGAUUCUAGGACAAAAGCUCUGACUAAACUUGCAACCACUGUCGACAAGUUUGACGAGUUGCAUAGCUUGUCUGAAAGUCUUCUUGUAGAAGUGGAAAGCCUUCAGUCACAAUUGCAAGAGAGAGAUUCAGAGAUCUCGUUUCUGCGCCAAGAAGUCACAAGGAGUACUAAUGAACUACUAACCACUGACGAUAGCAACAAGCAGUACUCAUCGCAGAUAAAUGAUUUUGUUAAGUGGUUAGAAACUGCGCUGAUGCAGUUUGGUGUGCAUUGUGAGAGUGCAGAUGACCAUGAUUACACUCAGGUUCCAGUAUAUAUGGACAUGUUGGACAAAAAAAUAGUGUCACUGAUAUCUGAAUCAGAUGAUUUGAGGGUUGCUGUGCAAAGCAAAGAUUCUUCACUACAGGUCGAGAGGACCAAAAUGGAAGAGUUGUCGCGUAAAUCAGAGGCUCUAGAAGCUUCUUUGAGCCAAAAGGAUUCUCAGAUAGGGAUGCUUCGUCGAGACAGGACGAUGGGCCAACCUAGAUCUAUAAACUUGCCUGGCACGUCGGAGAUUGAGCAAAUGAAUGACAAAGUAAGCCCAGCUGCAGUUGUCACUCAGAUUCGAGGGGCACGAAAAGUCAACAACGACCAGGUUGCUAUCGAUGUAGAGAUGCACAAGGACAAACCAUUAGAUGAUGAAGAUGAUGAUAAAGCGCAUGGUUUCAAGUCACUGACGAUGUCGCGCAUUGUUCCGAAGUUCACUCGACCUAUAUCAGACAGAAUUGAUGGGAUGUGGGCAUCUGGUGAUAGAUUGCUCAUGAGACAACCAACCUUGAGACUUGGUGUCUUGAUAUACUGGAUAGCAUUGCAUGCAUUGCUUGUGAGUUUUAUUUGA
This 1497-nucleotide ribosomal RNA is filed under the name Triticum aestivum (bread wheat). RNAcentral describes it as "partial small subunit ribosomal RNA". Lineage: Eukaryota; Viridiplantae; Streptophyta; Magnoliopsida; Poales; Poaceae. The record is from RNAcentral.